RNAcentral lists this long non-coding RNA (333 nucleotides) under Gossypium barbadense (sea-island cotton). RNAcentral describes it as "long non-coding RNA (GBAR_LNC017571)". Lineage: Eukaryota; Viridiplantae; Streptophyta; Magnoliopsida; Malvales; Malvaceae. The record is from RNAcentral.
AGUGCUGAUUCCCCGACUCUUUGGUGGUUGCUAAGUGUUGAUUCCACCAUAUCCUUGAAUGUGAAAGGGGUUGCUAAGUGCUGAUUCCCCGAAUCACUGGUGGUUGCUAAGUGAUGAUUCCACCAUAUCCUUGAAUGUAAAAAGGGGUUGCUAAGUGCUGAUUCCCCGAAUCACUGGUGGUUGCUAAGUGUUGAAUCCACCGAUAACGGUUAUCAUUCCGAGUGUUCAACGAGUAAAUUGGGAAGGUGAAUAUUUAUACAUAUGGUGGACAAGGUUAUGGGAGGAAUAUUGGGUUUGAUACUUAAUCAACUCAUGUAUAAGAUGGGAGGAAAU